GUUUCAUGGACUCACCCUGCAAAUACCACCAUGGCGCCGUGCAAGAGAGAGAUCCAAUGCUGUGUAACAACGACAAUACAGUUAUCAAUUUCAACAGUGUCAAUAUACACCCCAAUACUAGCGUAACAAAGACUAAGUCAGCAUGUAUGGGCCCGGCAGCCACAAGGAGUCGCUAGAGCGCGAUGGGACAUGGACAUCCCAGCCGGCCAAACAGUCCCCUAACCUGGACGAUGCUGGGCCAAUUGUGCGCCGCCUCAUGGGUCUCCCGGUUGCGGCCGGCUGCGACACAGCCUGGGAUCGAACCCGGAUCUGGAGUGACACCUUAGACCGCUGCACCACUUAGGAGGCCUCCCCUGACCAGAGGAAGAAAGCAUGCAGCUGCAACCAGACUCUUUGUUAAAUGUAUUCAUUUGCUCUCAGACUAAUUCUAAUGGAACAGAAACCAUUCAUCUAAUUUUCUCUGGAUAGAGAGGCAUAGAAUUGAACAAACGGAUCAAUUGCUAACAUGUGGAGAAUCAAUGAGUCAGUGCAUGGAUGGCCUUGACUGCUACUGUGCUGUAUGUCUUAAUCCAUUCCACUGUGCAUGAUACGUCACACGUAUGGUUUCAGUCACACGUAUGUACACACACACUCAAGCUCUCUCACAAUAGACUAUUUCCUCUGCUGCUGCACGGCAAGAGGUACUUGUGCAUCAAGUCUGACACCAACAGGCUCUUGAACAGCUUCCAUCCCUAAGCAAUAUGACUGAUAAAUAGCUAACAAAAUAACUACACAGACUAUCUGAGUUAACCUUGUAUCUUUAUUGACCUUUUAUUUCAAUCUUUCCACUGUCUCUAUGCAAACUCUCAGGGCCCUACACACUCGCACACACUGUCACUCCAACACACACACACACACACUGACUUCAUCAUUUGCUUGCUCAGGCAUAAUAUGCACAUCGAUUUAUACUGACUCUACACACCUGCACACCCACUUGCAUACAAGUUGCUGCUACUCUGUUUAUCUUAUAUUCUGUUGCCUAUUCUCCCCUUACCCCUAUACAUAUCUACCUCCAUCGCUGCAGUAUCCUUGCACAUGUAAAUAUGGUAUUGGAACUGACUUUUUAAAUAUUUCCUGUAUAUAGUAUGCUUACUUACUUAGUUACUUUAUUGUGUAUUUCAUAUGUCUUAUUCUUAUUUCUCG
Oncorhynchus tshawytscha (Chinook salmon) is the source of this 1182-nucleotide long non-coding RNA. Lineage: Eukaryota; Metazoa; Chordata; Actinopteri; Salmoniformes; Salmonidae. The record is from Ensembl.